This 6463-nucleotide long non-coding RNA is filed under the name Sus scrofa (pig). RNAcentral describes it as "lncRNA (ENSSSCG00000057694.1)". The record is from RNAcentral. Lineage: Eukaryota; Metazoa; Chordata; Mammalia; Artiodactyla; Suidae.
AAUUGGUUAAGAAAGACAGGUCCCCACCGACUUUCAAGGUAGUUUCACAGAAGUCACAUACAUCUGAUAACUUUGUCAUAUGGACACACAUGGCUGUUGGAAGAGUAAGUGAGGAAUAUCACUUAUGCAGCAAUGGGCCUAGCUGAAAAUUCAACCUCUUAAUAUUAAGGAAGGAAAGAGUAUUGAUAGGCAAUGAGAGUAUCUGCCACAGAUGGCAAUGAUAGCUGUGAUUUUAUUCUUCAACUUGAAAUAAAAUUUAAAACGGUGAGAAUAUUUACUGAAAUUUGUAAAUAUUCUCCUCUCUUUUAGCUUAAAUGAGAUAUGCAUGUGGAAACUGUUAAAAUGAGUAAAAUGUCUAAAUAAUUCUAAAGAGGGUUGUUUUUGUUUCCUACUUUUAUGGUGAGUGGCUUUGCAAGUGCCGGAUAUUAAAGAAUCACUGAAUCAUGAGCUAAAGGAUAAUUUUUACAUAAGACAGUCAGAGAUGUUUAGGAAACACAGUUAAGCAGAAUAUCAAAGAAUUUCACACCAGCUUUGAUGGUUGAAAGUGGGCGCUUUUUGAGGCUAGCAUGAGGCCAUAAUUUUUUAACAGGAUGUGUGUUUAUUUUCUGAAAGCAUGAGUAAGUCUCUUUUGUUCUUUCACAAGACAUGGUUAAAGUCGUCCUGUAUUAUAUAUAAAAAAAACCAAGAUAAUUGACUGUGUAUAUAAUGAAAAGUAGCAUUAAAUAAAUACAAUGGAUUGACAUUUCACAGAUAUGUAUUAGUAUCUAAGUAGCAGCAUAUGAUAUAUCAGGUACAGUUUGUUCCUGUAAUUAGAAUUGGAAUGCUAUGUAAUAGUAGUUUGCCCCAAUACUUCAUCUAUAAAAUAGGACGAGUAAACUGCUAACUCCCAAGGUGAUUUUUAAGCUCAAGAAUAAAGUAAUAAAGAGAUAGAUGAUAGAUAAACAGAACAUUACCACCUUGUACAUGAUCAUAAAUUUUACUUAUAUGGUGCUUAAUAAUUGGUAAUUCCAAUUAUUUUACUUGUGUCUUCAUGUUAUACUUGACAAAUAAGUGUAUAAGAGAGCUGAGUCCUUAAUAUGUGAGGUAUCUGACUCUUUAGAUUUUUAUGCCUUUUUUUUUUUUAUUUUUAGGACCGAACCCCACAGCAUAUGGAAAUUCCCAGGCCAGGGGUUGAAUUGCAAUUGUAGCUGCCAGCUUACACCACAGCCACAGCCAGAGCCAUAGCAGUGUGGGAUCUGAGCCUAGUCUGUGACCUACACCACAGCUCAUGGCAACACCAGAUCCUUCACCCACUGAACAAGGCCAGUGGUCAACCCACAUCCUCGUGGGUACUAGUCAGAUUUUUUUCCGCUGUGCCCAAACGGGAACUCCCAGACUUUUCCGUAUUUCAUAGGUGCUCUGUAUCUUGUGCAUUCCUUUGACUUUCCUCUACACGUGGCUUAGCUGACGCAGUGGCAUUCCUGUAGGAUAACUGGGAUAUGAUUCUGUCAUGAAAAGUUGUAAAGGAAAGAAAUAAAAUAUGGUAUAAAGUGCAUGAAAAAUUUAGACUUGGCCUAAAAAAGUACUUGGACCCUGGAGAUAAUAAUUCAAUAGCUAAGUUUAUAGAUAUGGUUAAGAAAAAAAAAAUCAAACCUGGGAAAUCAAAGCGGUGUUUUUAUUUUUAUUCUAGUACCGUAUCAACCUGAAAGUGUCAUACUUGCAAAUGGAAUGACUCAAAAAAGGCAAGAUACUACAUCUUAUAGAGUUUCAUCAGAAUGGCUUCUCCCUAGGAUGGUUCUGGAGAGGAGAAAUGCUUAUGCUUAGGACUGGACAAUUCAUGAGAAAGUGAACCACAUGAAAUGAUAAAAGUUGAGGCACAUUUAAGCACCUCUUUUCCUAUGAUCCCAAUGUGGGCUUUGAUGUCGUGGAGACAAUCUAUUUGGGGAAUUCAUACUGCCAAUGAAGAGGCUCACUCUCUCUCUCUCUCUGACUGUGGCCACACGGAGCACGUCGUAUAAAACAGAGGCCAUUUCUUCCUUUGGGAAGGUCAUCUCCACAGACCAGAUGGAAGGAAGGAGGGAGGAACAAAGUUGGGAUCCAGCCCAACUGAGUUCUGCCAAAAGAAAAGCUAUGCCUAUGCCUAUAAAGCUUUCUUGAAAAGUCUAAUCCAUCGUCUUUUCUAUUAGCAUGAUCACCCCCUAGAGCGAUAAAGCAGGUGUUGGCAAAAUGUUUGAACUUCCCAGCACUGUUCAAGUUGUAUAUCUUAACCCCAUAACCUCUGAUCAUCCCAUCAUUACUUGUCCUCAAAUUUCUGACUCCCCACUGAGUUGUCAGUCAUGCUCAUUUUCUAUCUCUCUUGCUUUCCUAUUACUUUCUCAUACACAUCUACUUUUGACUUGUCCGCAAGCCUGGACUCAAUCUUUCUUUGUCCAUAUUGUCCAGAUUCAGCAAUCAGACAUGGUCAUACACGGUCAUAUUUAGGAACAGCCCUUGCUGGAAAAUGUUAUACUUCUAAGGAACGAAUUGGUCAUUUUGGGAAAUACCUUUUGGAAGAUUUGAACACCAAGAUAGAGUGGGUUUUGGAGAUGUGUCUAUUUUUCCGGGAUAGCUGCAGAAAUCUGAUUAAAUAAGUAUUUGAAUAGUGCUUUAUUUUGGAAAAAGAUUGAUUCUCCUGUGUGCUUUCUCAUUUUAAAAAGAUACCGUUCAAUACUAUCCACACAAUUAAGUAGUUGGGAUAACCAUUGACCCCAUUAGUAGCUUUGAAAAGUGAAUUAUACAGAAGUUGACUUACCGUAGCUCAAACAAGGUCGGUAUACAACAUGGGCAGCCACAGGUCUCAUGACUUUUAGUCCUUGGCUCUCUACAGCCACGUAAUGGCUCCUUUAAGCUUCCUUGCCAGUGGUUAUAGAACAGAAGUGGAUCUCAAUGCAUACAUUUUUGAGGCUGUUUCCAAUCUAAAGAGAAUAAAAUCCCAUGCUUUACUCUGGUUUCUCAAAGACUUGAAUGAUUUUUGGCAUGCUCCCCUGACUCCAGUUUAAUGAAAGGGCCUCCAUGCCACAAUUAUAGCAUCUAUAGCCUGCAAUUUCCUUACACUGUCUCCAAUAAAAGCAGGCUGCUCCAUAUCCCAGUUACUCAGCAAGGAGAUCAUCCCCAUGCAGGGUCCUUCAUGCUCCCCACCAGCAUCAAUUAAGAAUCCACUUAUGCAAAGCAAUGACUUGGAGGAAUUCUUUUUGGCUUCACUUCUGAUUUUCCCUAGAAGUGAAAAGACCGUCUUGCUUAAUGCAGAUUCUCACAUAUAUAAAACCAGAGUGCUUUUAAAAACACUGUUCCAAUACACAAUUAGAGUAAUCGCCUCUUUCUCUCUGUUGCUUUCCUUAAAUAUUUACAGAGAAGAAACCUCUCCCUUAGAAAUUUGUGGUUUUCCAGGCUGUAUGUUUGUAAUUCAGUUGAUCUUUCUCAGUCCGGUGUACUCAGGCAUUUUAUCAUUGUGGUAGGGACUCUGUGCAUUUCUCUGAUUUCUUUAUAUUUUCUCCAAAGCAUGGCAUCAAGAAUUGGAUAUGAUAAUGCUUGGGGAUAGCUGCAGUUACCUAUGACAUCCAUCAGGCAACCUGAGCUAAUUUAGCCUAAUAGCCUGCAAGUCUCACGAUAUACAAAAACCUGGAGUUCUCCAUUUUUCUUUGUUGUUUGUACCAACACAAGACUGAUUUCAAGGACACACUUUUGAAGUAAUGUAAAUAUUUAUAGUCUAGUUUUGAUAUUUGAUUUUUUAAAAAGAAUUACCCUCCCUUUAUGAGCUUAAAAGAUUAAUCAUUUCGUAUGGACACAUUUUUAAUGGCCAAAAUAGAUAAAAUUGUGUGAGGUUCAGAUAUUUCAAAAUUCUUUAAGAAGAUUGUAACCAAUAGAGCUGUACUUAACAGCAGCCAUCAGUUAACAGAAUUGUUUGGAUAGGUGGAUGAAAAGAAAAAUAGAUGAAUCAUUUUGCAUUCACUCAUUUAAUCAACAAAUAUUUGGAGCCCGUUCUGUACAAGACAAAUUUUUCCAGGGGCUGGGUGUCAGCAAGGUAUAAAACACACAGAUGUUUCUGAUCUUAGAGCUCAUGUGCUAGUGGGAUGAAAAGAAGGAAUAAAACAUUGUGUAAUUAAUUAAUUAUAUUAAAAAUAAGAGAAAAGAUAAAAUAGAGCUAAUGGGAUGGAAUAUUAUAUUCAAUUUGAAGUAAAAUAGCCAGGGCACGUCUGGGUGAAAGGGUGACAUUCAAGGUAAGGGAGAAAGGGAGCUCUGUGUCUACCCAGGAGGAGAGAUUCCAGAAAUUGCCACUUCAAAUGCUCUGUGUUGAAAGCAUAGCAGAGAAGCCCUUGGGGUUAAAAUGGAAUGAGUAUGAGAAAAGGGUAGAUAGGUGAAAAAUAGGAGUGAAUCUUUUUAGACCAUUAAAGGUAUUUCAACAAUCGCUCUAAGUGAAAAAGGGACAUAUUGGAGGAUUUGUAUAGAUGAGGAAUCCUCUUUUAGGAUGGUCCAGCAGUAGCAGGUUGGGGAGACAUAACCUCUCUAGGUCUAAACAUAUAUAAUAUGGGGAAGAGGCGCUCGGAACCCUAGAAUUUUAUCCUUGUUAGUAACCUUAUAGAUUGAGGUGAUGGAUGAUGCAGUGCAAGUCUCCUAUUUUACAGGUCAGGAAAUGGCUUAAGGGAAAGUUAUGAUUUGUAUAAAAUCAUAGAGUUGAGUACUCAUUGUUUUAUUUUUAUAACCAAUAUAUUUAAAUUUUAUAUGAUGGAUGUAAAGAGGCAUGGAGGGUGAGAAAGUUCUGAGUUGUUGAUUUCAUUAAGGCUGGAUUUUUGUGACAUGCCACAUUUGUUUCCUAUCUCUAGUGUAACCCAUAUCCAAAAGAGGGAAGUUAAAGAUGAUUAAUUCAUGGUCUCUUAAGCAAAGAAGGCACUGUCCUCAGUGGUGGAAAUUUGGGUUCCUACAGCAACUUAUUUUCUAAAUCUUGAUCUAUAACGCAAUGUAUAACUAAGGCAGGUGGCUUGACCUCUCCAAGGUUCUGUCUCCUCAUCGGGGUAAAAUAGAAGUAUUAAUUAAUUGUAACUGAUCCGUAGUUCUUAUGAAGUUGAAAUGAAUUAGUGCUCAACCAUAUUGUCUAAGUUUUUGAUUGGUUAUUUUAAUUUAUUAAAUAGAAGCCGAUUAAAUAAAUAUUUGUUGACAGCUAUAUGUUUCAAAUGCCUGGAUACAAGCUUUAAAUAGAUAUCAUCUCUAAUCUCAGAAAAGCCUCACUAGUAGACGAGAUGUGAUAAGCUCAGUAUUGUAAUAAACUAUAAUACAAAGCUACACAAAAUCCAGUGGGAAUGCAGAGAGAGAAGAUCUCUAAUGUCUAUAUCAAUGCAUCGAAUAUACUGUUUUAAAAAGUAGGAAUUUGAAGUUCCCACCAUGGCAUGGCUUCUGCAGCAGCUCAGGUCACAGGUUCAAUCCCUGGUCUGGUGCAGUAGGUUAAGAAUCUGGCAUUGCCACAGCUGUAGUGUAGGCUACAGCUGUGGCUCAGAUUUAAUUCCUGGCCCAGGAACUUCUUUAUGCUGCGUGUGCAGCCAAACAAUAAUUAAUUAAUUUUACAAAGUAGAAAUUUGAGCAAUUAGAGAAAUAGCAAAGUGGUCAAGUUUGUAAUUUGUUGGUGAGAAAUUAACAGUUAUUUUCUGAGAAAGUGAGAUUUAAAUUAAGACGUGAGUUGCUAAUGUUAUUUAUGCAUUUGGAGUUAAGGAGGGGUAUUUAAGGUGAGGAAGAACAUAGCAAAGAAACAUAGGUAUGAAAGUACAAGUCUCCUAAAGAACACAUGACAAGUUUAAAUUUCCAAAAAAAAACAAAUUCCUACCUCUUACCCUAAUUAUACUAACUCAGUGUGUCUGGAUUGGGACCAAAACAUUUCUGGUUGUAACAAAGCAAAACAAUGGUUGACCCUGGUGAUCCAUGAACUACCAUUUAGGGAAAACUAAACUCUAGAGUUCUUGAAGGGAUUCUUUUGAAAACCAAACUGUGAAGUAGGUUGGGUUUGAUUUUGGGGAUGCCUUAUAGCAGGUUUAAGAGAAAGUCAAUAUUUAGGUAAUUAAUAUUUUCUUAAAGAUAGUGAGGUGAUAAAUAGAGAAAAAAAUUGCAAGUUGUGUUGACACCCUUCUAGAAUGAAGAAAUUAAAAAAAACAAUCACAGCGAAUCAGGGCUGACACCUUUCCUUCACAGCAUCCGCAUUCCUCAAAAUGAUAAUAUUCCUCUGAGACACCGAUGGUGCUUUUGUUUCCUGCAGGAAGAUGUUCUGUGUCUUGGAGUCCGAUGUGGCCUGUGGCAGUUGCUGUGGUAACUAGUUUAAGGCAUGUCAUCGAAUUACCAAGUAAACAGUCUUAUAAGUCAGAUAGUGUAGCUGACAUGUAAAUGAAGGCUGCCUUGUCUCUGUCAGCUUUUCUAUUCUGAAUUCCCUUGCUUUCCAUAUUUAAGAGAGAAUUCCCUUUCCCUU